This 432-nucleotide ribosomal RNA is filed under the name uncultured bacterium. RNAcentral describes it as "partial 16S ribosomal RNA". It matches the Rfam family "Bacterial small subunit ribosomal RNA", at positions 29 to 506 of the family's 1533-position model. The record is from RNAcentral.
AACGAACGCUGGCGGCAUGCCUAACACAUGCAAGUCGAACGAAGGCUUCGGCCCUAGUGGCGCACGGGUGCGUAACGCGUGGGAAUCUGCCCUUUGGUUCGGAAUAACAGCUGGAAACGGCUGCUAAUACCGGAUGAUGACGAAAGUCCAAAGAUUUAUCGCCAGAGGAUGAGCCCGCGUUGGAUUAGGUAGUUGGUGGGGUAAAGGCCUACCAAGCCGACGAUCCAUAGCUGGUCUGAGAGGAUGAUCAGCCACACUGGGACUGAGACACGGCCCAGACUCCUACGGGAGGCAGCAGUGGGGAAUAUUGGACAAUGGGCGCAAGCCUGAUCCAGCAAUGCCGCGUGAGUGAUGAAGGCCCUAGGGUUGUAAAGCUCUUUUACCCGGGAAGAUAAUGACUGUACCGGGAGAAUAAGCCCCGGCUAACUCCGU